GAUGAACGCUGGCGGCGUGCCUAAUACAUGCAAGUCGAGCGGUAAGGCCCCUUCGGGGGUACACGAGCGGCGGACGGCUGAGUAACGCGUAGGAACGUACCCCAAAGUGAGGGAUAAGCAUUGGAAACAGUGUCUAAUACCGCAUGUGAUCCACGGAUUAAAGCUUCGGCGCUUUGGGAACGGCCUGCGUAAGAUUAGCUAGUUGGUGAGGUAAUGGCUCACCAAGGCGACGAUCUUUAGCUGGUCUGAGAGGAUGAUCAGCCAGACUGGGACUGAGACACGGCCCAGACUCCUACGGGAGGCAGCAGUAGGGAAUUUUCCACAAUGGACGAAAGUCUGAUGGAGCAACGCCGCGUGCAGGAUGAAUGCCUUUGGGUUGUAAACUGCUUUUAUAGGUGACGAAUAUGACGGUAACCUAUGAAUAAGCUUCGGCUAAUUCCGUGCCAGCAGCCGCAGUAAAAC
RNAcentral lists this ribosomal RNA (462 nucleotides) under uncultured bacterium. RNAcentral describes it as "bacterial SSU rRNA". It matches the Rfam family "Bacterial small subunit ribosomal RNA", at positions 28 to 526 of the family's 1533-position model. The record is from RNAcentral.